AGGGUUUGAUUCUGGCUCAGAACGAACGCUGGCGGCGUGGAUAAGACAUGCAAGUCGGACGAGAUUUCGUCCUGUAGCAAUACGGGAAGAAGUCUAGUGGCGAACGGGUGCUUAACACGUGGGCAAUCUGUCUUAAAGUGGGGGAUAGCUCGGCGAAAGCCGAAUUAAUACCGCAUGUGAUUAGAGUGGACAUCCAUUCAAAAUUAAAGUCGGGGCAACCUGACGCUUUUUGAGGAGCCCGCGGCCUAUCAGCUAGUUGGUGAGGUAACGGCUCACCAAGGCUUUGACGGGUAGCUGGUCUGAGAGGACGACCAGCCACACUGGGACUGAGACACGGCCCAGACACCUACGGGUGGCAGCAGUCGAGAAUUUUUCUCAAUGGGGGAAACCCUGAAGGAGCGACGCCGCGUGGAGGAUGAAGGUCUUCGGAUUGUAAACUCCUGUCAUUGGGGAACAAGGUGCAUACGUUAACUGCGUGUGCAUUGAUAGUACCCGAAGAGG
Molecule: ribosomal RNA, 501 nt
Filed under: uncultured bacterium
Lineage: Bacteria
Description: bacterial SSU rRNA
Rfam family: Bacterial small subunit ribosomal RNA
Source: RNAcentral